UGAGGAAUAUUGCACAAUGGGGGAAACCCUGAUGCAGCAACGCCGCGUGCGGGACGAAGGCCUUCGGGUCGUAAACCGCUUUUCUGGGGAAAGAGCAAGGACGGUACCUCAGGAAUAAGUCUCGGCUAACUACGUGCCAGCAGCCGCGGUAAAACGUAGGAGGCGAGCGUUAUCCGGAUUUACUGGGCGUAAAGCGCACGCAGGCGGCUCUGUGAGUCGGACGUGAAUGCUCCCGGCUUAACCGGGAGAGGCCGUUCGAUACUGCGGGGCUUGAGGUAGGGAGAGGAAUGCGGAAUUCCCGGUGUAGUGGUGGAAUGCGUAGAUAUCGGGAGGAACACCUGUGGCGAAAGCGGCAUUCUGGCCCUCACCUGACGCUGAGGUGCGAAAGCGUGGGUAGCAAACAG
RNAcentral lists this ribosomal RNA (404 nucleotides) under uncultured bacterium. RNAcentral's name for it is "bacterial SSU rRNA". It matches the Rfam family "Bacterial small subunit ribosomal RNA", at positions 355 to 775 of the family's 1533-position model. The record is from RNAcentral.